This 497-nucleotide ribosomal RNA is filed under the name uncultured bacterium. Its description in RNAcentral is "partial 16S ribosomal RNA". It matches the Rfam family "Bacterial small subunit ribosomal RNA", at positions 28 to 507 of the family's 1533-position model. The record is from RNAcentral.
GACGAACGCUGGCGGCGUGCCUAAUACAUGCAAGUUGAGCGCUGAAGGUUGGUACUUGUACCAACUGGAUGAGCAGCGCACGGGUGAGUAACGCGUGGGGAAUCUGCCUUUGAGCGGGGGACAACAUUUGGAAACGAAUGCUAAUACCGCAUAAAAACUUUAAACACAAGUUUUAAGUUUGAAAGAUGCAAUUGCAUCACUCAAAGAUGAUCCCGCGUUGUAUUAGCUAGUUGGUGAGGUAAAGGCUCACCAAGGCGAUGAUACAUAGCCGACCUGAGAGGGUGAUCGGCCACAUUGGGACUGAGACACAGCCCAAACUCCUACGGGAGGCAGCAGUAGGGAAUCUUCGGCAAUGGACGAAAGUCUGACCGAGCAACGCCGCGUGAGUGAAGAAGGUUUUCGGAUCGUAAAACUCUGUUGGUAGAGAAGAACGUUGGUGAGAGUGGAAAGCUCAUCAAGUGACGGUAACUACCCAGAAAGGGACGGCUAACUACGUG